GGAUCACCUGAGGUCAGGAGUUCCAGACCAGCCAGGCCAACAUGUUGAAACCCCGUCUCUACUAAAAAUACACAAAUUAGCUGGAUGUGGUGGCGGGCACCUGUAAUCCCAGCUACUCAGGAGGCUGAGGCAGGAGAAUCACUAGGACCCGGGAGGCAGAGGUUGCAGUGAGCCAAGAUCAUACCAUUGCACUCCAGCCUGGGGGACAAAGCGAGACUCCGUCUCAAAAAAAAAGAGAAAGAAAAAGUAAUCAAUAUUGUUACAAUACUAUUAACUACAGACUCUUAUUCGGACGGCACCAGUUUUUCCACUAAUGUUCUUUAGUCCAGGAUUCCAUGUUGCAUUGAACAUUAAUACAUUUCAGUAAAACAAUACAGUGAAGUCACAGGAUAACACAUGAUAAUUGAUUAUCAGAUGCAGAUGGUGAAAAGAGCUUUGCCUCAGGUCAGGAGGGCCUAACACUCAUCUCAGCAGUGAAGGGACGCAAGUCGCGCCCGCAGGGGUGUGAGGUUGUUUCACACAGCGUUGGGGCAGGCAUUCCAGCUCUCAGUAAGAACUAAUAUGGUUCAAUGUACGCUAACUCCCCCAAGGAAUCUGCAGUUCACAUUAGGCAAAGGGUAUAAAGCUCUAAUUAUGAACUCCGCAGCCAGAGUGGACCAUGAAGUUGAACAUUUCCACAAAGAAGAGGAGAGACUUACUUUCCCAUGCUCUGAAGUCACACUUCCUGCCCUGUACUCUAGGAGCGAUGCGAAGCCUCAGGACUCAAGCUUAUUUCUGAAGCAAGGUCUCAAGUCAAAAAAAAGAAAAAGAAACAUUUAGACUUGCCCCUUCUGAGGAGUCGCUAUUCUGUGCCUCUCUAGGGGCCACCUUUGCUCAGAGGCUCCGUUAGGCUGGUGAAGCAGGGGGCUACAGUGGGAGGGAGAAAGGCUGAACAUUCCUCAGCGUCGGCGUCGGCGUCCAUGGGGGGCUCUGAGCGAUGGCCUUCUCCGCUUGCAAGGUCAUUGGUCUUUGAGCCGGACUCGCUGCCUAAGGCAGGCUAAGACUGGCAUAUUAGCAUUCCAUCUACAUUUAACUUGGAAUAAAUUCUAGAUUUAGCCCUGCAGCUAGGAUGGAAUUUUUCCCCUUCCGCUGCCCUCCCGCUUCCUGCCUUAGAGCUGGGUCUGGGGUGAGGCAGAUGAGGGGCUAACAGCGUAACAUGCAGAGAGGCUCUUGCACCACCGUGAGAGUGAGCGCAUGUCUCCUACAAUUUUUCCACUCUAGGUCCUUUGCUUGUCACACAGCGUGGUUACCUCUUCCUCACCUGCAGCUUCAGCCCCACUGUGUUGUCAUAAUGACUUAGCACCUACAAAAUGAAAAGAGGGCCAAAAAAACCCCCCAAAACGUCUAGCUUCCCCCUCAGUUAAGUGUUCAAAGUGUCCUAACUUCCAGCUUUGAAAUAGGACUGAAGAUGAACCAUGCUCCUGGCACCCCCUGUUGAGAGCCCAAGUUCAGCAGAUUGCGGCCAUGGGGGACUGAAAAUGGAGCCCUGGACAAAGACACUUGCUGGGUGACCCAAGGCAAGACUUUCCAUGUACACUAUGAAUGCCAAGUGCUGUGAAUACCAACCCAUGCUUUCAAAGAGCCUGCUGCCUCAGAGCAUGUGAUGUGGAACUUUCUGGUGGCCUCGGCGUGGAGGUUCUCAACCUCAGCUGCACACUGUGUUUAGUUGGUCUGGAGCGAGAUCUAGGCAUCAGUAUAUUUUUUAAGCUCCCCAUGUGAUUGUAAUAUGCAGCCAAGAAUAAAAAAAAAAAACACUGGGCUAGGUCAUUCCUGGCCGAGGUGAGGAGGUGGUGAGAUGGAUUGGAAGGGGACCAUGGCAAGGAUUCUUAGGGGUGUCAAGGAGGAGAUGAAAGGAGGACUCAGACAAGGGGAUCUGGCAAGUUUUCAGAAAUCACCUGCUGAUGCCUUUUAAAGCUAAUGCCAUUAUUGAAUCUUAGUCAUCCAUUCAUCCUCUACUCACCAGUGACUAAUAUUGAUGUGUUUUAGACAUAUAAAGAUGAAUUAAGACCCAGUCCCUGCCCUUAGGCGGCACACAGUAGGAGAGACAGACUCAUGAACACAUGGUGGUGUAAUCAAAGUUAGUCAUGGACUGUAUAUGUACUCAAUUCUGGGGCCCACAGGGCACCCCAUUCUGUGGGUAAGGGGCAAGCUCACCCCAAUGUCAGGCAUACUAGGAAGAGGCUAAAGCUAAAAUAUCCAAUGAGAGCCUGCAAGGAGGGCCUUGGACAGGGGAAAGACAAGAACUUCUUGGGCUUUCUGGGCUUCCUCUCCAGAGCCUGUGUCCUGAGAAGUCUGUGAAGUAGGUACACUCAAGGUUACUCUACUGGACAACUCCGGGGGUGUCAUUCAUUUGUAUUUUAUGAAAACACUGCCCACUAGAGUUGUGCACCUAGAUGGCAUUGCGAGUGUGGUAAGAGAAGCUGACUCUGACCAGAGGGCUCCGGAAGGUGCCUCUGCCGUUUGAUAAGGAAGCUCCUAUGAGAAACACGGGAACAGAUCUAUGCCUGUGGGCUCUGAGAACAGCCACAUCCAGAAGCCAGGCAGAAGAUCCUCUAUUUUUCUUUCCGGUUUUCCCAGAGCCUUCAGUGAAGUAGAAUUAAGAACAAGUCUGUGGCCACCCUUUGGGCUGGCAUGGUUCCAGACACUGGCAUCCUCUAGGGCCAGGGUAGUUGUGGCAUCCCCAGAACUGCAGAGAGGCUCACCACAGCAUGGGCAGGGCUAUGGUUUGCACGUGUCUCCCAAAAUUUCAUGUGUUAAAAACUUAAUCCUCAAUGCAACAGUGUUGGGAGGUGGGACCUAGUAAGAGGUGACUGGGUCAGGAGAGCAAAGCCCUCAUGAAUGGAUUAACAUCAUUAUUAAAAGAGUGGGUUGUUACAAAGCAAGUCUGGCUCCUGGUGCCUGUUGGUCUUCAGUGCUCACUUCUGCCUUCACCCUUCCACCAUGGGAUGACCCUCACCUAUUGUCAGUGGCAUGCUCUUGGAUUGCCCAGCCUCCAGAACUAUAAACUGAAUAAAUCUCUUUUCUUUUAAGUUAUACUGUGGUUUUCUGCUGAAGCAGCAGCACAGUGAACUAAGACAGGCAGUGACCCAGAGGGAUGAGGUCCCAUGACUGAGACCUCACCCAAUCACCCACAGAAAUAUACUAGAUGGAAGGGAGGCUAGAAAGGGGAGUUGAGGUCCUGCCACCAUGCUGGUGGGGAUGUGUAGCCCAUGGGCUUGGGUUUAAUUUUUUUUUUUUUUUUUUUUUUUGAGAUGGAGUCUCACUCUGUCACCUAGGCUGGAGUGCAGUGGAAUGAUCUCGGCUCACUGCAACCUCUGCCUCCCAGGUUCAACCGAUUCUCCUGCCUCAGCCUCCUGAGUUGCUGGGAUUACAGGCGUCCGCCACCACACCUGACUAA
This 3436-nucleotide long non-coding RNA is filed under the name Homo sapiens (human). RNAcentral describes it as "HSALNT0030302". Lineage: Eukaryota; Metazoa; Chordata; Mammalia; Primates; Hominidae. The record is from RNAcentral.